Cicer arietinum (chickpea) is the source of this 246-nucleotide long non-coding RNA. RefSeq lists it as uncharacterized. The record is from RefSeq and is a predicted model, not a curated record. NCBI's taxonomy places the organism in Eukaryota, Viridiplantae, Streptophyta, Magnoliopsida, Fabales, Fabaceae.
AAUCAAUAUCGUGGUUUGGUUCAUCAUUGGUUUUCUGAUGAAGGACAAAAAAUAAGUAAAAUUAAUAGGCAAAAUCGGGCUAAAUUUGAAGAUGUUCAUUGUAUGGGUUCAAAAAGUCUCCCAAAGUUUAUUGAUGAGAAGAUAAAAAAGGGAAAAGGAGUGUUGCCUGGACGUAAAGAGAUUUACAUUGAUACCCGCACUCGUAAAGAUGGAACAAUUGUCAAUGAAAAGGAUGCAAGAUUGAUU